GAUGAACGCUGGCGGCGUGCCUAAUACAUGCAAGUCGAGCGAACAGACGAGGAGCUUGCUCCUCUGACGUUAGCGGCGGACGGGUGAGUAACACGUGGAUAACCUACCUAUAAGACUGGGAUAACUUCGGGAAACCGGAGCUAAUACCGGAUAAUAUAUUGAACCGCAUGGUUCAAUAGUGAAAGACGGUUUUGCUGUCACUUAUAGAUGGAUCCGCGCCGCAUUAGCUAGUUGGUAAGGUAACGGCUUACCAAGGCAACGAUGCGUAGCCGACCUGAGAGGGUGAUCGGCCACACUGGAACUGAGACACGUUCCAGACUCCGACGGGAGGCAGCAGUAGGGAAUCUUCCGCAAUGGGCGAAAGCCUGACGGAGCAACGCCGCGUGAGUGAUGAAGGUCUUCGGAUCGUAAAACUCUGUUAUUAGGGAAGAACAAAUGUGUAAGUAACUAUGCACGUCUUGACGGUACCUAAUCAGAAAGCCACGGCUAACUACGUG
This 497-nucleotide ribosomal RNA is filed under the name uncultured bacterium. RNAcentral's name for it is "partial 16S ribosomal RNA". It matches the Rfam family "Bacterial small subunit ribosomal RNA", at positions 28 to 507 of the family's 1533-position model. The record is from RNAcentral.